This 599-nucleotide ribosomal RNA is filed under the name uncultured Actinomycetes bacterium. Its description in RNAcentral is "bacterial SSU rRNA". It matches the Rfam family "Bacterial small subunit ribosomal RNA", at positions 252 to 866 of the family's 1533-position model. The record is from RNAcentral. Lineage: Bacteria; Bacillati; Actinomycetota; Actinomycetes.
GAGAGGUAACGGCUCACCAAGGCAUCGACGGGUAGCUGGUCUGAGAGGAUGAUCAGCCACACUGGAACUGAGACACGGUCCAGACUCCUACGGGAGGCAGCAGUGGGGAAUCUUGCACAAUGGGCGAAAGCCUGAUGCAGCGAUGCCGCGUGCGGGAAGAAGGCCUUAGGGUUGUAAACCGCUUUCAGGAGGGAAGAAAAUGACGGUACCUCCAGAAGAAGGUGCGGCCAACUACGUGCCAGCAGCCGCGGUGACACGUAGGCACCAAGCGUUAUCCGGAUUUAUUGGGCGUAAAGAGCUCGUAGGCGGUUUGGUAAGUCGGGUGUGAAAACUCUGGGCUCAACCCAGAGAGGCCACUCGAUACUGCUAUGACUAGAGUACGGUAGGGGAGCGGGGAAUUCCUGGUGUAGCGGUGGAAUGCGCAGAUAUCAGGAGGAACACCAAUGGCGAAGGCAGUGCUCUGGGCCGGUACUGACGCUGAGGAGCGAAAGCAUGGGGAGCAAACAGGAUUAGAUACCCUGGUAGUCCAUGCCGUAAACGUUGGGCACUAGGUGUGGGGUCUUCUAACGGAUUCCGUGCCGUAGCUAACGCAUUAAGUG